This 673-nucleotide ribosomal RNA is filed under the name uncultured bacterium. RNAcentral's name for it is "bacterial SSU rRNA". It matches the Rfam family "Bacterial small subunit ribosomal RNA", at positions 141 to 800 of the family's 1533-position model. The record is from RNAcentral.
GGAUAACUCCGGGAAACCGGGGCUAAUACCGGAUGGUUGUCUGAACCGCAUGGUUCAGACAUAAAAGGUGGCUUCGGCUACCACUUACAGAUGGACCCGCGGCGCAUUAGCUAGUUGGUGAGGUAACGGCUCACCAAGGCGACGAUGCGUAGCCGACCUGAGAGGGUGAUCGGCCACACUGGGACUGAGACACGGCCCAGACUCCUACGGGAGGCAGCAGUAGGGAAUCUUCCACAAUGGGCGAAAGCCUGAUGGAGCAAUGCCGCGUGAAUGAAGAAGGUCUUCGGAUCGUAAAGUUCUGUUAUUAGAGAAGAACAAGUCAAGGAGUAACUGUCUUGACUUUGACGGUACCUAACCAGAAAGUCACGGCUAACUACGUGCCAGCAGCCGCGGUAAUACGUAGGUGACGAGCGUUGUCCGGAAUUAUUGGGCGUAAAGGGAGCGCAGGCGGUUGGAAUAGUCUGAUGUGAAAGCCCACGGCUUAACCGUGGAAGGUCAUUGGAAACUGUCCAACUUGAAUGCAGAAGAGGAGAGUGGAAUUCCAUGUGUAGCGGUGAAAUGCGUAGAUAUAUGGAGGAACACCAGUGGCGAAGGCGACUUUCUGGUCUGUAAUUGACGCUGAGGCUCGAAAGCGUGGGUAGCGAACAGGAUUAGAUACCCUGGUAGUCCACGC